RNAcentral lists this ribosomal RNA (492 nucleotides) under uncultured bacterium. RNAcentral's name for it is "partial 16S ribosomal RNA". It matches the Rfam family "Bacterial small subunit ribosomal RNA", at positions 29 to 507 of the family's 1533-position model. The record is from RNAcentral.
AGUGAACGCUGGCGGUAGGCCUAACACAUGCAAGUCGAACGGCAGCACAGUAAGAGCUUGCUCUUACGGGUGGCGAGUGGCGGACGGGUGAGGAAUACAUCGGAAUCUACUUUUUCGUGGGGGAUAACGUAGGGAAACUUACGCUAAUACCGCAUACGACCUACGGGUGGAAGCAGGGGAUCUUCGGACCUUGCGCGAUUGAAUGAGCCGAUGUCGGAUUAGCUAGUUGGCGGGGUAAAGGCCCACCAAGGCGACGAUCCGUAGCUGGUCUGAGAGGAUGAUCAGCCACACUGGAACUGAGACACGGUCCAGACUCCUACGGGAGGCAGCAGUGGGGAAUAUUGGACAAUGGGCGCAAGCCUGAUCCAGCCAUACCGCGUGGGUGAAGAAGGCCUUCGGGUUGUAAAGCCCUUUUGUUGGGAAAGAAAAGCAGCAGGUUAAUACCCCGCUGUUCUGACGGUACCCAAAGAACAAGCACCGGCUAACUUCGUG